UACAGAGGUCUCAAGCGUUGUUCGGAAUCACUGGGCGUAAAGGGUGCGUAGGUGGCGUGGUAAGUCAGAUGUGAAAGCCCGGGGCUCAACCUCGGAAUUGCAUCCGAUACUGCCGUGCUAGAGUACUGAAGAGGUGACUAGAAUUCUCGGUGUAGCAGUGAAAUGCGUAGAUAUCGAGAGGAAUACCAACGGCGAAGGCAGGUCACUGGGCAGUUACUGACACUGAGGCACGAAGGCCAGGGGAGCAAAC
This 250-nucleotide ribosomal RNA is filed under the name uncultured bacterium. Its description in RNAcentral is "partial 16S ribosomal RNA". It matches the Rfam family "Bacterial small subunit ribosomal RNA", at positions 524 to 773 of the family's 1533-position model. The record is from RNAcentral.